This 277-nucleotide long non-coding RNA is filed under the name Gallus gallus (chicken). The record is from RNAcentral. Lineage: Eukaryota; Metazoa; Chordata; Aves; Galliformes; Phasianidae.
CAUAAAGGGGCCUGGGGUCCUAUAACGGGGCCAUAAAGGGGCCUGGGGUCCUGUAAUGGGGCCUUAAAGGGGCCUGGGAUCCUAUAAUGGGGCCUUAAAGGAGCCUGGAGUCCUACAACAGGGGGAUAACGGGGCCUUAGAGGGGCCUGGGGCCCUAUAACGGGACCUUAAAGGGGCCUGGGGUCCUGUAAUGGGGCCUUAAAGGGGCCUGGGGUCCUUUACUGGGGGAUAACUGGGCCUUAAAGGGGCCUGGGGUCCUUUAAUUGGAGAUAACGGG